RNAcentral lists this ribosomal RNA (447 nucleotides) under uncultured bacterium. RNAcentral describes it as "partial 16S ribosomal RNA". It matches the Rfam family "Bacterial small subunit ribosomal RNA", at positions 29 to 523 of the family's 1533-position model. The record is from RNAcentral.
AGCGAACGCUGGCGGCAGGCUUAACACAUGCAAGUCGAACGCACCGCAAGGUGAGUGGCAGACGGGUGAGUAACGCGUGGGAACCUACCCCUUGGUACGGGAUAGCUCCGGGAAACUGGAGAUAAUACCGUAUGUGACCUGAGGGUCAAAGAUUCAUCGCCAAGGGAUGGGCCCGCGUCGGAUUAGCUAGUUGGUGGGGUAACGGCCUACCAAGGCGACGAUCCGUAGCUGGUCUAAGAGGAUGAUCAGCCACAUUGGGACUGAGACACGGCCCAAACUCCUACGGGAGGCAGCAGUGGGGAAUAUUGGACAAUGGGCGCAAGCCUGAUCCAGCCAUGCCGCGUGAGUGAUGAAGGCCCUAGGGUUGUAAAGCUCUUUCACCGGGGACGAUAAUGACGGUACCCGGAGAAGAAGCCCCGGCUAACUUCGUGCCAGCCGCCGCGGUAA